RNAcentral lists this ribosomal RNA (489 nucleotides) under uncultured bacterium. Its description in RNAcentral is "partial 16S ribosomal RNA". It matches the Rfam family "Bacterial small subunit ribosomal RNA", at positions 30 to 506 of the family's 1533-position model. The record is from RNAcentral.
AUUGAACGCUGGCGGCAGGCCUAACACAUGCAAGUCGAACGGUAACAGGAAGAAGCUUGCUUCUUUGCUGACGAGUGGCGGACGGGUGAGUAAUGUCUGGGAAACUGCCUGAUGGAGGGGGAUAACUACUGGAAACGGUAGCUAAUACCGCAUAACGUCGCAAGACCAAAAAGGGGGACCUUCGGGCCUCUUGCCAUCGGAUGUGCCCAGAUGGGAUUAGCUAGUAGGUGGGGUAACGGCUCACCUAGGCGACGAUCCCUAGCUGGUCUGAGAGGAUGACAAGCCACAGUGGAGCUGAGACACGGUCCAGACUCAUACGGGAGGCAGCAGUGGGGAAUAUUGCACAAUGGGCGCAAGCCUGAUGCAGCCAUGCCGCGGGUAUGAAGAAGGCCUUCGGUUUGUAAAGUACUUUCAGCGGGGAGGAAGGGAGUAAAGUUAAUACCUUUGCUCAUGGACGUUACCCGCAGAAGAAGCACCGGCUAACUCCGU